UAAGUAAGUUGGUCAACUGCGUGGAAACACGAGGAAAGUCUGCGCUCCAUAGAGCAAGGAUGCUGGAUAACGUCCAGUGGGGGCGACCCUAAGGAUAGUGCAACAGAGAGAUACCGCCUAGUAAUAGGUAAGGGUGGAAAGGCGAGGUAAGAGCUCACCAGGCCAUUAGUGAUAAUGGUGCUAUGUAAACCCCAUUCGGAGCAAAACCAAAUAGGAUUCAAAGAUGCGGCUCGUAUCUUCCGGUAGGUAGGUUGCUUGAGGGUAUUGGCAACAAUACUCCUAGAUAGAUAGUUGACGAACACAGAACGCGGCUUAUAGACUUGCUUAUCAU
RNAcentral lists this RNase P RNA (331 nucleotides) under Tissierellia bacterium. RNAcentral describes it as "RNase P RNA component class A". It matches the Rfam family "Bacterial RNase P class A". From Rfam's summary of the family: Ribonuclease P (RNase P) is a ubiquitous endoribonuclease, found in archaea, bacteria and eukarya as well as chloroplasts and mitochondria. Lineage: Bacteria; Bacillati; Bacillota; Tissierellia. The record is from RNAcentral.